Molecule: ribosomal RNA, 253 nt
Filed under: uncultured bacterium
Lineage: Bacteria
Description: partial 16S ribosomal RNA
Rfam family: Bacterial small subunit ribosomal RNA
Source: RNAcentral
UACGGAGGGAGCUAGCGUUGUUCGGAAUUACUGGGCUUAAAGCGCACGUAGGCGGCUUUGUAAGUUAGAGGUGAAAGCCUGGAGCUCAACUCCAGAAUUGCCUUUAAGACUGCAUCGCUUGAAUCCGAGAGAGGUGGGUGGAAUUCCGAGUGUAGAGGUGAAAUUCGUAGAUAUUCGGAGGAACACCAGUGGCGAAGGCGGCUCACUGGACCGGUAUUGACGCUGAGGUGCGAGAGCGUGGGGAGCAAACAGG